GAUGAACGCUAGCUACAGGCUUAACACAUGCAAGUCGAGGGGCAGCGGGAUUGAAGCUUGCUUCAAUUGCCGGCGACCGGCGCACGGGUGAGUAACGCGUAUCCAACCUUCCGUACACUCAGGGAUAGCCUUUCGAAAAGAAAGAUUAAUACCUGAUGGUAUCUUAAGCACACAUGUAAUUAAGAUUAAAGAUUUAUCGGUGUACGAUGGGGAUGCGUUCCAUUAGGUAGUAGGCGGGGUAACGGCCCACCUAGCCAACGAUGGAUAGGGGUUCUGAGAGGAAGGUCCCCCACAUUGGAACUGAGACACGGUCCAAACUCCUACGGGAGGCAGCAGUGAGGAAUAUUGGUCAAUGGACGAGAGUCUGAACCAGCCAAGUAGCGUGAAGGAUGAAGGUCCUACGGAUUGUAAACUUCUUUUAUAAGGGAAUAAACCCUCCCACGUGUGGGAGCUUGUAUGUACCUUAUGAAUAAGCAUCGGCUAACUCCGUG
This 491-nucleotide ribosomal RNA is filed under the name uncultured bacterium. Its description in RNAcentral is "bacterial SSU rRNA". It matches the Rfam family "Bacterial small subunit ribosomal RNA", at positions 28 to 507 of the family's 1533-position model. The record is from RNAcentral.